RNAcentral lists this ribosomal RNA (433 nucleotides) under uncultured bacterium. Its description in RNAcentral is "partial 16S ribosomal RNA". It matches the Rfam family "Bacterial small subunit ribosomal RNA", at positions 29 to 507 of the family's 1533-position model. The record is from RNAcentral.
AACGAACGCUGGCGGCAUGCCUAACAUAUGCAAGUCGAACGAGACCUUCGGGUCUAGUGGCGCACGGGUGCGUAACGCGUGGGAACCUGCCCUUAGGUUCGGAAUAACUCCCCGAAAGGGGUGCUAAUACCGGAUAAUGUCUUCGGACCAAAGAUUUAUCGCCUUUGGAUGGGCCCGCGUUGGAUUAGCUAGUUGGUAGGGUAAAAGCUUACCAAGGCGACGAUCCAUAGCUGGUUUGAGAGGAUGAUCAGCCACACUGGGACUGAGACACGGCCCAGACUCCUACGGGAGGCAGCAGUGGGGAAUAUAGGACCAUGGGCGAAAGCCUGAUCCAGCAAUGCCGCGUGAGUGAUGAAGGCCUUAGGGUUGUAAAGCUCUUUUACCCGAGAUGAUAGUGACGGUACCGGGAGAAUAAGCUCCGGCUAACUCCGUG